CUCUUCCCGUAGGGGUGACCUGCGGAAGGAUCAUUGAAUUAUUAAAACCACACCGUGAACCUCCCUGUUUCGCGUUCCGGCUCGUCCAGCUGGGCGAUCGGCCCCAACCCCCGAUCGGCUCCAGCAGCUGCAACGUCGUGCGCCUCACACGCGGGGGCGUUGCAGUGGCGCCGGGACGUGCCUUUCACCCUACACACCAGUGCUCACCACUGUCAAAUCCGAAAUCUGAAGCAGCAGAGACCGCUCGUAACUGGCGGUCUGAACAACAGAGACAACUCUCAACAACGGAUAUCUUGGCUCUCGCAACGAUGAAGAACGCAGCGAAAUGCGAUACGUAGUGUGAAUUGCAGAAUUCCGUGAACCAUCGAAUCUUUGAACGCAUAUUGCGCUCGAGCCUUCGGGCGAGAGCAUGUCUGCCUCAGCGUCGGUUUCCACCCUCUCGCCCCUCUCACCACAUCAUCAUCCCUUGCGCGGAUGGUGGCGGGUGAGUCUGGUCGACCGCUCUCGGUCGGCCUCAGGGGCGGAUCUGGCCUCCCCAAUCGAUCGAUCCGAUCGCUUGGGUUGGCUGAAGCGCAGAGGCUUAACCACGGACCCGAAUGGGCUUCAACUGGAUAGGUAGCGCCGGCUCUUUCUCUCUUCUGUUCCUCUCUCGCGAGAGGAGGAGAGGGAGGAGGGUCGUCUACACGAAGUUGUGGCCUGUGGACCUUGGUAGGGGCCAAGCAGGAAACGAUCGUGCGCUCCGACUGCGUCUGUUCCGACUCUCUCUCGCAUCUCGAGCGAGCGCAGAGGAGAGACAGACACACACGGGGGCGCGCGCACGUCCGACACGUUCGACCUGAGCUCAGGCAAGGCUACCCGCUGAACUUAAGCAUAUCAAUAAGCGGGAGGAAAAGGAUCAUUGAAUU
RNAcentral lists this ribosomal RNA (905 nucleotides) under Pectinodesmus sp. SA-2016. RNAcentral describes it as "eukaryotic LSU rRNA". The stretch from base 274 to 427 matches the Rfam family "5.8S ribosomal RNA". Lineage: Eukaryota; Viridiplantae; Chlorophyta; Chlorophyceae; Sphaeropleales; Scenedesmaceae. The record is from RNAcentral.